UAUUGUGGUAACAUUAUUUAUGAAAUGUCUAACUGACAUUUGCUGUCAUCAGGCAGCUGAUCGAAAUUUUCAGCACUUUUAUGUAAUUUCUCGGGCGUAACAUCUCUUUUGAGAUGCUUCGGACAGUUGCGAUAGGUUCAGGCCUGGUGGCGUUAGUGCCAGUAGUGCGGGCUGCUAAGCCGGUAGAUCCAGAUCCAUCGAAGCCUCCACCGCUCAUGAAGGCCUGCGACCUGCCCAUAUAUGACAGCCCACAUGCGGACUAUGGAGAGUACAAAGAAUCAAUGGAGACCAAGCAACAGAUCAGCUACAUUCGCAACGUAAUCCUGGAACCGGUGAGAGUGGUACGUCAGUCUGUGCAGAAUGUCUGGGAGCAGACCGAGUCUAUCCAGCAGACGGUCAGGGACAACUAUAAUGAGCUCCAGGAUAGGACUGACUGGAUUGUGAAAUAUCUGCGAGAGGAAGAAAAUAAGGAUAUCCGGUAUGGCGCAGUCGCAAUGGGUGGCCUUACAGGUUUCAUAUUUGGUCUCAGAGGCGGUAUCAUCAGGCGGCUGUUCUACGCAGGCGUGGGCACGACAAUCAUGGGCGCUGUCUGCUUCCCCGAGGAGACCAAGGAACUGGCCAAGGAGAACGGAGUGUUGGCCAAGCAGUACGCCAACAUCGCGUAUAACUUCCUCUAUGGAGUAAAGCCGGGCGAUCCGCAACUUGAGCUGAAAUUCCCUGAGCUCUCUGUACCUAAGAACUUCUCAGAGUUUGUCGACCUUUCGGUGUCGGUAGCGUCAUCUGUGAAGCAGAUGGUCAUGCCUCCGCCUGGCAAGGAGGCGCAGGAGUCUACAGAAAAGAAAGAUUAGAUUUUGCACAUAAGAAAGACAUGGAGCCAUUAACUAACCCAACAAGCAAGGAAGAUGAUGAAAUAGAUAAUUUAGUACCUAAUCCAUGGACUUGGAGUUAAAGAAAUUAUGUAUUUGUUAGUCAUUUUUUAUUUAUUUAAUGAAUUCAGUGUAAAUGUAUAGCGGUUAUUAAAUAAAACUGUAUAUUUUUUCUA
This 1042-nucleotide unclassified non-coding RNA is filed under the name Pectinophora gossypiella (pink bollworm). Its description in RNAcentral is "uncharacterized LOC126382149". The record is from RNAcentral. Lineage: Eukaryota; Metazoa; Arthropoda; Insecta; Lepidoptera; Gelechiidae.